Molecule: ribosomal RNA, 772 nt
Filed under: uncultured organism
Description: SSU rRNA
Rfam family: Bacterial small subunit ribosomal RNA
Source: RNAcentral
GACGAACGCUGGCGGCGUGCUUAACACAUGCAAGUCGAACGAAGAGCGUUGGAAGCUUGCUUCUAUCAAUCUUAGUGGCGAACGGGUGAGUAACGCGUAAUCAACCUGCCCUUCAGAGGGGGACAACAGUUGGAAACGACUGCUAAUACCGCAUACGAUCUAACCUCGGCAUCGAGGAUAGAUGAAAGGUGGCCUCUAUUUAUAAGCUAUCACUGAAGGAGGGGAUUGCGUCUGAUUAGCUAGUUGGAUGGGUAACGGCCCACCAAGGCGAUGAUCAGUAGCCGGUCUGAGAGGAUGAACGGCCACAUUGGGACUGAGACACGGCCCAGACUCCUACGGGAGGCAGCAGUGGGGAAUCUUCCGCAAUGGACGAAAGUCUGACGGAGCAACGCCGCGUGAGUGAUGACGGCCUUCGGGUUGUAAAGCUCUGUUAAUCGGGACGAAAGGCCUUCUUGCGAAUAGUUAGAAGGAUUGACGGUACCGGAAUAGAAAGCCACGGCUAACUACGUGCCAGCAGCCGCGGUAAUACGUAGGUGGCAAGCGUUGUCCGGAAUUAUUGGGCGUAAAGCGCGCGCAGGCGGAUUGGUCAGUCUGUCUUAAAAGUUCGGGGCUUAACCCCGUGAUGGGAUGGAAACUGCCAAUCUAGAGUAUCGGAGAGGAAAGUGGAAUUCCUAGUGUAGCGGUGAAAUGCGUAGAUAUUAGGAAGAACACCAGUGGCGAAGGCGACCUUCUGGACGAAAACUGACGCUGAGGCGCGAAAGCCAGGGGAGCG